GAUGAACGCUGGCGGCGUGCCUAAUACAUGCAAGUCGAGCGAACAGACGAGGAGCUUGCUCCUCUGACGUUAGCGGCGGACGGGUGAGUAACACGUGGAUAACCUACCUAUAAGACUGGGAUAACUUCGGGAAACCGGAGCUAAUACCGGAUAAUAUAUUGAACCGCAUGGUUCAAUAGUGAAAGACGGUUUUGCUGUCACUUAUAGAUGGAUCCGCGCCGCAUUAGCUAGUUGGUAAGGUAACGGCUUACCAAGGCAACGAUGCGUAGCCGACCUGAGAGGGUGAUCGGCCACACUGGAACUGAGACACGGUCCAGACUCCCACGGGAGGCAGCAGUAGGGAAUCUUCCGCAAAGGGCGAAAGCCUGACGGAGCAACGCCGCGUGAGUGAUGAAGGUCUUCGGAUCGUAAAACUCUGUUAUUAGGGAAAAACAAAUGUGUAAGUAACUAUGCACGUCUUGACGGUACCUAAUCAGAAAGCCACGGCUAACUACGUG
Molecule: ribosomal RNA, 497 nt
Filed under: uncultured bacterium
Lineage: Bacteria
Description: partial 16S ribosomal RNA
Rfam family: Bacterial small subunit ribosomal RNA
Source: RNAcentral